RNAcentral lists this ribosomal RNA (200 nucleotides) under uncultured bacterium. RNAcentral's name for it is "partial 16S ribosomal RNA". It matches the Rfam family "Bacterial small subunit ribosomal RNA", at positions 572 to 771 of the family's 1533-position model. The record is from RNAcentral.
CAGGGCGGUUUGAUAAGUCUGAAGUUAAAGGCUGUGGCUCAACCAUAGUUCGCUUUGGAAACUGUCAAACUUGAGUGCAGAAGGGGAGAGUGGAAUUCCAUGUGUAGCGGUGAAAUGCGUAGAUAUAUGGAGGAACACCGGUGGCGAAAGCGGCUCUCUGGUCUGUAACUGACGCUGAGGCUCGAAAGCGUGGGGAGCGA